AUGUUAGCGCAUGACUUUAUUGUUAAGAAUAAGGAAGGGGAGCUUAAAUACAAAUUGUUCUUUGAUAAACAUCACCCUGAGACUAUUACCUUGCCUGCUCCUUCCUUGUUUAAUUUAUCUGAAGGUCCGUAUCUUGUUCCGUGGGCGGCCAUUCAAGCCUACCGGAACCCUACACCAGCCCCGGAGCCGGAACCACAAUUUGAGCCUCGACGACAGUCUGAUUACUUUUGGGAUCCGGAGAUGACUGCCAGCCAGUGGCAGUCAGAGUCCUCUUCAUCUCAGUAUGACCCCAGCUACAACUAUGGAUAUCCACUAGGCCAUCCGUGGCAAUGA
RNAcentral lists this ribosomal RNA (333 nucleotides) under Triticum aestivum (bread wheat). Its description in RNAcentral is "partial small subunit ribosomal RNA". The record is from RNAcentral. Lineage: Eukaryota; Viridiplantae; Streptophyta; Magnoliopsida; Poales; Poaceae.